Molecule: ribosomal RNA, 607 nt
Filed under: Hygrocybe singeri
Lineage: Eukaryota; Fungi; Basidiomycota; Agaricomycetes; Agaricales; Hygrophoraceae
Description: eukaryotic LSU rRNA
Rfam family: Eukaryotic large subunit ribosomal RNA
Source: RNAcentral
UUAACCUCAAAUCAGGUAGGAUUACCCGCUGAACUUAAGCAUAUCAAUAAGCGGAGGAAAAGAAACUAACAAGGAUUCCCCUAGUAACUGCGAGUGAAGCGGGAAGAGCUCAAAUUUAAAAUCUGGCAGUUCUCUGAGCUGUCCGAGUUGUAAUCUAGAGAAGUGCUUUCCGUGCUGGACCGUGUACAAGUCUCUUGGAAUGGAGCGUCAUAGAGGGUGAGAAUCCCGUCUUUGACACGGACUACCAGUGCUUUUGUGAUGCACUCUCGAAGAGUCGAGUUGUUUGGGAAUGCAGCUCAAAAUGGGUGGUAAAUUCCAUCUAAAGCUAAAUAUAGGCGAGAGACCGAUAGCGAACAAGUACCGUGAGGGAAAGAUGAAAAGAACUUUGAAAAGAGAGUUAAACAGUACGUGAAAUUGUUGAAAGGGAAACGCUUCAAGUCAGUCGCGUUGGCUGGUAAUCAACCGUUGCAAAUCUUGCUGGGUUUAUUUUCCAGUUGAUGGGUCAGCAUCAAUUUUGACCGUCAGAGAAAGGCGUGGGGAAUGUGGCAUCUUCGGAUGUGUUAUAGCCCCUUGUCACAUGUGAUGGUUGGGAUUGAGGAACUCAGCA